Molecule: ribosomal RNA, 254 nt
Filed under: uncultured bacterium
Lineage: Bacteria
Description: partial 16S ribosomal RNA
Rfam family: Bacterial small subunit ribosomal RNA
Source: RNAcentral
UACGUAGGGGGCGAGCGUUGUCCGGAUUUAUUGGGCGUAAAACGCUUGUAGGCGGCCACCGCGCGUCGGCUGUGAAAUCUCCCGGCUCAACUGGGAGGGGUCAGGCGAUACGGCGGGGCUCGAGGCAGGUAGGGGGAAGCGGAAUUCCCGGUGUAGGAGUGACAUCCGUAGAGAUCAACAGGAACAUCAGAGGCGAAAGCGGCCACCUGGCAAUGUACUGACGCUGAGGAACGAAAGCGUGGGGAGCAAACAGG